UAUAGACCAACACAUCCUAUUCAAAAUAAAAAUCAUCCAACAGUCUCAUCGUACUUCUUUACUCGUCUUCUUUUAUCUUUACUACCAUUUUACCACCACUACAACAUUCGUAGCGAUUCUGACGUGCAAAUCGAUCGUCAAAUUUGAGUAUAGGGGCGAAAGACUAAUCGAACCAUCUAGUAGCUGGUUCCUGCCGAAGUUUCCCUCAGGAUAGCAGAAACUCACAAAGCAGUUUUAUGGGGUAAAGCGAAUGAUUAGAGGCCUUGGGGGCGAAAUGCCCUUAACCUAUUCUCAAACUUUAAAUAUGUAAGACGCCCUUCUUUCUUAGCUGAAGUUGGGCCUUUGAAUGCAGAGUUUCUAGUGGGCCAUUAGAGGAACUUAUGUCCCACUAGUGAUCCAACCUAUAUCUCCCACCUAACAAAGAGAGAAUCAUAUCUCCUAUAAACACACUUGUACACAAUCAUCGUAUUCCCUAACAAAUGGAUAACACAUUAGUAUAAAUAGAUCUUCUAUUUCACA
This 519-nucleotide non-coding RNA is filed under the name Absidia glauca. Its description in RNAcentral is "Eukaryotic large subunit ribosomal RNA". It matches the Rfam family "Eukaryotic large subunit ribosomal RNA", at positions 840 to 1149 of the family's 3401-position model. The record is from Rfam by way of RNAcentral. Lineage: Eukaryota; Fungi; Mucoromycota; Mucoromycetes; Mucorales; Cunninghamellaceae.